Molecule: ribosomal RNA, 403 nt
Filed under: uncultured bacterium
Lineage: Bacteria
Description: partial 16S ribosomal RNA
Rfam family: Bacterial small subunit ribosomal RNA
Source: RNAcentral
AUUGAACGCUGGCGGCAGGCCUAACACAUGCAAGUCGAGCGAGCGGCGGACGGGUGCGUAAUGUAUGGGGACUGCCCGAUAGCGGGGGAUAACUACUGGAAACGGUAGCUAAUCACGUAUACUAUCGGAUAACCCAUAUGGGAUUAGCUAGUGGGUGAGGUAAUGGCUAACCUAGGCGACGAUCCCUAGACGGUCUGAGAGGGUGAUCAGCCACACUGGGACUGAGACACGGCCCAGACUCCUACGGAGGCAGCAGUGGGGAAUAUUGCGCAAUGGGCGCAAGCCUGAUGGAGCCAUGCCGCGUGAAUGAAGAAGGCCCUAGGGUUGUAAAGUACUUUCAGUCGGGAGGCGUUACCGACAGAGGAAGCACCGGCUAACUCCGUGCCAGCAGCCGCGGUAAUAC